UGGGUGGUGCCCUGGCCCAGCUCUGGGGCCACAAGUCUUCAGGAGCAGAGUCCUGCUUCUGAAUGAGGAGGGGGGACCCUUGGACAGGGGAGGGGGCAGGCAGGGCUGGAGUACCUGACCCAGCUGCCCCUUGCUCCAGGCAUCGUCACGGAGCAGAGAGCAAGGGAGAUCCAGCAAGUGACAGCCCAUCUGCAAAACCCCAUCACGCCAGAGGUCACGGGGAAGGAGAGCCUGGCGCCUGACCUCAGCAUCUGUUUAUCUAAUCAGGAAGGAGAGUGGAGAAGUCGGCAAGGACUGCAUGCACGUUUUAUGAGGCCCACGAUGCAUUUCAGAGCCUCUCGGUACCAUGUCAACUGCCAGCAAAUGUUACUACCCAGAGCGAUUCAGGGUUGUUGCUGUCUUCAACAUUAUGUAACCAAGACUUCAAGAAUUCCAAGCAAUACGCAAAAGAAGGAAUGGAAGACAUUAGAAAAGGAUGCUUCUGUCGGCUGAACAAAAAUCAGAACAAGAGGAAUUC
This is a long non-coding RNA of Camelus dromedarius (Arabian camel), 517 nucleotides long. RefSeq lists it as uncharacterized. The transcript has 4 exons. NCBI's taxonomy places the organism in Eukaryota, Metazoa, Chordata, Mammalia, Artiodactyla, Camelidae. The record is from RefSeq and is a predicted model, not a curated record.